AAGUCGUAACAAGGUAUCUGUAGGUGAACCUGCAGAUGGAUCAUUUCGAUGAAAACCUUUUUUCUGAGGUGCGGCCCGCACCUGUCUAACUAAACUAGGGCUACCCUUUUUCAACACGGUUGCAUCGGUUGGGCUUGUCAGACAGCGCGCGCGCAAGCGUGUUCUCGACGGCAGCCUGACACAACACAAAAACACUUUGGAUGACAUAGGAUUUGAACGAAUUUGUUAUUUAACGGCUGGUAAUGCGGUCGUCUAAAAUUAAAAAACAACUUUUGGCAACGGAUCUCUUGGUUCUCC
This 297-nucleotide unclassified non-coding RNA is filed under the name fungal sp. Its description in RNAcentral is "partial internal transcribed spacer region". The stretch from base 1 to 46 matches the Rfam family "Eukaryotic small subunit ribosomal RNA", at positions 1786 to 1831 of the family's 1831-position model. Lineage: Eukaryota; Fungi. The record is from RNAcentral.